Populus nigra (black poplar) is the source of this 849-nucleotide long non-coding RNA. RefSeq lists it as uncharacterized. The record is from RefSeq and is a predicted model, not a curated record. The transcript has 2 exons. NCBI's taxonomy places the organism in Eukaryota, Viridiplantae, Streptophyta, Magnoliopsida, Malpighiales, Salicaceae.
AUGAGGACAGAGGUGCAUCGUGCUGGUAAUUUUCCACCACAAAGAGGGAUGAAUCUGUUACAAGCCAACCAAAAUCCCACGACCCCACCACACCCUCUCACUUCCCAGCUACAGUAUCCACACAGUGAAAAGAAAACGAGUCAGUGAGAGAGAGUCCGAGCGUCAGCGAUCAGAAACUUCCCAGGCAAAAGAAAACACUUUCACUUGAAGACCACGCCUUCUUCCUCGAAGAUCCUUUCAAUGAUGAUGCUUUAACCACUGCCCAGAUUAAUCAGAUUAUUCUGAUGCAUGGAUUCAGAAGAACACACAAGCGUUCCAAGGCACGUCGUUUAACCUCUUCUCAAUUGCUGCAUUUUUCAUUUUAUUUUCUUAAUUUUUAAUUUUUAGAGCAACACGGCGAUCGACACUGGAAGACAAUUUCUCACCGUACGAUGACGCAUCACUCUCGCUCGGUGAAGCGAAACAAGACUUGGAAUCUUUGAAAUGGCAGGAGUGUUCAGACCAAUCUAUCGAGACCGUGCUUUACAAUCACAAAACUAAUGAUGAAGUCAAAUCCAACGGUCAUGACGAUGCUUUGAGGAGUUUUGUGCGGUUGUCGCAAGAAGAGGAGAGAUCUAGGAGGAUGAGAGGUGUGAGUAGCAUUGUGGAUUAUCGGUGCGAUGCCUGGGCGUCCUGGUGGCGGUACGGACGUGGCUAUUGGCUGUGUAAAAUGUAAAUCAGUGGGGUCCGUCUUUGUACGUGGAUACGGACGCUGGGAGUUCCGAUUCGGUGUGGGCGAGAGCUAGUUGUCAAUGUAAGUAAAAACUGAAAAAGAUUAAUGAUUUGCAUGAUUAGAGUAGCGUUACAAUA